UACGUAGGCAGCGAGCGUUGUUCGGAGUUACUGGGCGUAAAGAGUGCGUAGGCGGUUUUCUAAGUUUGGUGUGAAAUCUCCCGGCUUAACUGGGAGGGUGCGCCGAAGACUGGAAGGCUUGAGUUUGGGAGAGGGAUGCGGAAUUCCAGGUGUAGCGGUGAAAUGCGUAGAUAUCUGGAGGAACACCGGUGGCGAAGGCGGCAUCCUGGACCAACACUGACACUGAGGAGCGAAAGCCAGGGGAGCAAACGGG
RNAcentral lists this ribosomal RNA (253 nucleotides) under uncultured bacterium. RNAcentral describes it as "partial 16S ribosomal RNA". It matches the Rfam family "Bacterial small subunit ribosomal RNA", at positions 524 to 776 of the family's 1533-position model. The record is from RNAcentral.